RNAcentral lists this long non-coding RNA (661 nucleotides) under Elaeis guineensis (African oil palm). RNAcentral's name for it is "long non-coding RNA (EGUI_LNC058083)". Lineage: Eukaryota; Viridiplantae; Streptophyta; Magnoliopsida; Arecales; Arecaceae. The record is from RNAcentral.
GGGUGUAUAUGGGCUUGGGUUAACCUAAUCUCCCAUAGAGUUGGUCAAGGGAGUUUUGGGUUUGGGUCACUUGACCCUGUGUUUAUAUAUACAUGUACUGUGUAUUGGUUUGAUUAAGCCAAAGAAAAUAUAGAACUCUUUCUCCCAAGUCUCUCUCUCUUCUCCCUCUCUCUCCAGCCAUUCUCCAUGCCCCAGGAGCAAGAAACCCUAGGGUUUUUUGCCACCAGGUCCAUAAAAGGAAAGAAAAGCAAGGAGGCGCUAGCCCCUUCCCCCUUGCAGCCACCGACUCUCUCUCUUCUCCCUCUCUUGCAGUCAUCCAAACAUUAGGUCCAGGACCUGGGAUCUCUUGAGAAGAGGUUGAUACAAGUCUCUCUCAGAUCUGGAGUUGAUCUGAGGUCGUUGAGGUGCGGGUGAGAUCUCCAUCAACGGAUCUACAGGAAAGGUUGCAGCAGGAUAGAUCUGCAAGGUCUAUCUCCAUCUACCUUCUUUUCUAUCUAAAAUACCCCGAUUCAAGAUCUACAACUUAGAAGACCUCGGUCCAGGUCUAAUCUGGUUGGAUACCAGAUCUUGGAUUUUUCAGAGGUGAUUUCAGAGGCGUUCUUCAUCUGGAACGAAAGGCUGAUGAAGAAGACAGCAACCAGGCUAAUUUUGUCAAGGGCCU